This 254-nucleotide ribosomal RNA is filed under the name uncultured bacterium. RNAcentral describes it as "partial 16S ribosomal RNA". It matches the Rfam family "Bacterial small subunit ribosomal RNA", at positions 524 to 776 of the family's 1533-position model. The record is from RNAcentral.
UACGGGGGGAGCAAGCGUUGUUCGGAUUUACUGGGCGUAAAGGGCGCGUAGGCGGCGUGACAAGUCACUUGUGAAAUCUCCGGGCUUAACUCGGAACGGCCAAGUGAUACUGCAGUGCUAGAGUGCAGAAGGGGCAAUCGGAAUUCUUGGUGUAGCGGUGAAAUGCGUAGAUAUCAAGAGGAACACCUGAGGUGAAGACGGGUUGCUGGGCUGACACUGACGCUGAGUGCGCGAAAGCCAGGGGAGCAAACGGG